Molecule: long non-coding RNA, 2661 nt
Filed under: Amborella trichopoda
Lineage: Eukaryota; Viridiplantae; Streptophyta; Magnoliopsida; Amborellales; Amborellaceae
Description: long non-coding RNA (ATRI_LNC002573)
Source: RNAcentral
UUUAAAUCAAGACAUCAACACCCUAAAUCAAUCAUGCCCCGAGAGACAUCAAAACCAUUUUUUUUAUAAGAUGGAUACAAGCCGUGGGUUAUAUCUAAAUUUAAACUUUCCCAAUCAAAGCAUCAUCAUCAUCACCUCAGCCUUUUCCUAAUUUACUUCUAUUAUGAAAGGACUUGUGCAUUCAUGCCGAUGGUCUCAAGUAUUAAAUAAAAAAGUAAAUGGGGAAGCAUCUCCAGCUUAGAAAAAUCUAUUAUUGAAAGUUUAUGUGAAAAGUUAUGAAUAAGGACAGAUGAAAUCUAACACACAAACAUAAAUGCUAGAAGGAAAAAGUUUAUACAAGGUUGCAACCUUAAAAUGUAGAAUUACACAUGCACCUCAAAAAUCCAUGGAAAAAAGUUGUUUUAAUAUUGAAAAACCUUCUAAUUGAUCAUCUUGACACCGAGAUGUGUGAAUAUGGAAAAAAAAAAAAUGAAUUUGCGUAUCAGAAAUAGUGCAUCUUGCAACAUUUUAUUCAUUAUAGAUCUACUUGAUUUUAACCAUUUUUGGAGUUUAAAAUUUUAUAAUUAGAUAUGAAAAGAGAUUUUCAGAUACUCCAAAGAAUUUUUUAUGCCAAAAAUACAUGUUAUGAUAAAAUUUGGAGGUGCAUAUUAAUUGGAUUGUUUAAGAUUGCAAUCUUAUAGAAACCACACCCAUGCUACAAAGCCUGAACUCCUAAAUUAGAAAGCUUGGUAGUUAAGAUUUAUACUCUCUCUGCUCCAUGUGCCGCCCUCUCACAUGAAGGUAAGAAAUUAGAGAUUAGGGAAAGGAAACAAAAAUAGACACAUGGCAAAUGGCCCAAAGUUGUUGGUCACUCACAUUCAUUGAUAGAAUUGUUCUCUUAAAUCUAAGGACACGUUUUCUAUACGGCCAGCCUGUAUAUUGUAGACGAUAAUUACAUUUUUUAAAUAAAAUUUAAUCUUAAUUUUUAGAAAAUAUAUAAUCUUUAAUAUGGAGAUCAUGAAUAUGAUAAAAAAAAAAUAGAAAUUAGAAAUCAUAAUAGCAUUAAAAAAACAUUUGAAUCAUUGGUUAUACUUGUUUUUAGAUGGACCACCUAUUUGCAUCCAUCUUUAAGAUUGAUGUUUUAUAUCUCUAGACCACAUACUGUAGAAAUGCGGUCCAACCACAUGAAACAAUUUUCUUAAAUCUAAUUUGGAAAAAGUCCUUCAUGAGGAACGCAAUAGCCCCCUAAUUCACCAACAUCCAUCUUAAAGAUGGAUGUCGUAAAAAAAUCACAAGGGUUAUACGAUGUAGAAAAUUUUUCAAAAAAAACUUUAAAUAUAAAAAAAAUUUAUUUUAUUUUCUCAUGUUCAUAGCAAUCUUAACUUAGAUCAUGAAUCCCUAAAAUUUUAGAUUCAAAACCCAUUUCUAAGAUGGUUGAAAAGGGGGCCUGCAUAUGUAUAGUAUGAGUCUGUUGACUCAUAGAAACCCCACCAUCAACAAAAGAGUUCAUUUUCCUGUAAUGAAAUUUGGGAAAGGUUUCUAUGCUUCCCCUACAGCAUAGAAGAACUAUCAUUCCCCUACCAUCCAGCCGUCCAAUUUUGAUCAAGAGAGCUACUCACCAUUUGGUCUUAGAUCUGACGUCUCAAAGUAUUUUAUUUUUAGUUUUUCUUAUACAAAUUUUAUGAAUAUGAAAUUUGAUACGCGUCAUCUUCUCAUUGGGGUGCACCUAUUAAAAAUAUUAGAAAUAAUUUUUCCUUAAAAUAUAAUAAUCAAAAUACCCCUUGAAAAUUUUAGGGGUAUUUUGGUCAUUUUAUUUUUUUGAAAAUAUUUUUUAUAUAUUUUUCUCUAAUGCGAGUUUGAUAGAGAAUCGGACGUAAAAAAUUUGGUGUUAUAAUAGUUUAUAGAAAAAAAUUAAAAAUAAAAUAGUAUUGGAACAUGACAUUGUGAUUGGGGCAAUCUUAACCCUCCAUUCAUAAUGAACGGUUGGAUAAGAGAAAAUAUAUAAGUUUAUGUUAUAGGGGAAACAUUAAAAGCUUCCUAUAAAAUUUACCUCACAUGUGAAGUUUUUGCCGUGUAAAUAUUGGCAAGUUUGUUCUUGUAUUUUGUAGUUUUUGCUUAUUCGCUCUUCCCCAAAAAAAAGAAAAGAAAAUUUCUUGCUUUAUUAUAUUGUGGCUUUGAAUCUUGGGAAAUGUUUGUUUGAUCCCAACGUUCAAUUUAAAUCGAGGGGCUAUGAUUGUUUACACCACAAUGUCGUGCGAAACACUAUUUUAUUUUUCAUUAUUUUUCUACACAAAUUUUGUGGAUGAAAUUUUGGGCGUCCUAUUAUAAAAGUAGGGUGAACCUAAGAAAAAUAAAAAAUAAAUGACCAAAAUACCUUUACAAAUUUCAAAGGUAAUCUAAUAAUUUUACAUUAGAAAUACUUUUUAUUAUUUUUAUCAUGUGGCCCUAUCAUAUCUAUGAAUGCCCAAAAUUUAAUUCAAAUUUAUUUAUAAAAUAAAAAUAAAUAAAUUAUGAGACGUCUAAUCAAGAUCGGACAGUAAAGAGGUAACUGUGAUAUUGUAACUAAACCACCUCAACCAUCUACUUGGAUGAAAAACACGAGGAAUCAUAUAUAUAUAUAUAUAUAUAUAGAUGGGGUUAUAUGUGGGGGGUUACAAAGAAAGCGUUCCGUUGAACCUUCGG